RNAcentral lists this transfer RNA (75 nucleotides) under Roseovarius nubinhibens ISM. RNAcentral's name for it is "tRNA-Thr(ggt)". It matches the Rfam family "tRNA". From Rfam's summary of the family: Transfer RNA (tRNA) molecules are approximately 80 nucleotides in length. Their secondary structure includes four short double-helical elements and three loops (D, anti-codon, and T loops). The record is from RNAcentral. Lineage: Bacteria; Pseudomonadati; Pseudomonadota; Alphaproteobacteria; Rhodobacterales; Roseobacteraceae. RNAcentral also lists the same sequence under 4 other names.
GCUGCUGUAGCUCAGUGGUAGAGCACUCCCUUGGUAAGGGAGAGGCCGGGAGUUCAAUCCUCCCCAGCAGCACCA